CCCUUAGAUGUUCUGGGCCGCACGCGUGCUACACUGAGUGGAUCAGCGGGUCAGGUUGCGCGAAAGUGUUUCCUAAUCUUGAAAUCCGCUCGUGAUGGGGAUUGACGGUUGCAAUUUUCCGUCAUGAACGAGGAAUACCUUGUAAGCGCGGGUCAUCAUCCCGCGCUGAAUACGUCCCUGCCCUUUGUACACACCGCCCGUCGCUCCUACCGAUUGAGUGGUCCGGUGAGGCUUUGGGAUCUGAGCAAAGAGAGCGUUUCGCUCGUUUUGCCCGGAGAACUCAGUCGAACCUUAUCAUUUAGAGGAAGGAGAAGUCGUAACA
RNAcentral lists this ribosomal RNA (322 nucleotides) under uncultured eukaryote. Its description in RNAcentral is "partial 18S ribosomal RNA". It matches the Rfam family "Eukaryotic small subunit ribosomal RNA", at positions 1470 to 1796 of the family's 1831-position model. The record is from RNAcentral.